Molecule: ribosomal RNA, 699 nt
Filed under: uncultured marine archaeon
Lineage: Archaea
Description: bacterial SSU rRNA
Rfam family: Archaeal small subunit ribosomal RNA
Source: RNAcentral
AGUCAACCUACCCUAUGGACGGGAAUAAUCUCGGGAAACUGAGGAUAAUUCCAGAUAGAACACUAUGCCUGGAACGGUUUGUGUUCCAAAUGAUUUAUCGCCGUAGGAUGGGACUGCGUCCUAUCAGUUUGUUGGUGAGGUAAUGGCCCACCGAGACUAUUACAGGUACGGGCUCUGAGAGGAGUAGCCCGGAGAUGGGUACUGAGACACGGACCCAGGCCCUAUGGGGCGCAGCAGGCGAGAAAACUUUGCAAUGUGCGAAAGCACGACAAGGUUAAUCCGAGUGGUUCCUGCUAAAGGAACCUUUUGACGGUCCUAAAAACACCGUUGAAUAAGGGGUGGGCAAGUUCUGGUGUCAGCCGCCGCGGUAAAACCAGCACCUCAAGUGGUCAGGAUGAUUAUUGGGCCUAAAGCAUCCGUAGCCGGCUCUGUGAGUUUUCGGUUAAAUCUGUGCGCUCAACGUACAGGCUGCCGGGAAUACUGCAGAGCUAGGGAGUGGGAGAGGCAGACGGUACUUGGUAGGAAGGGGUAAAAUCCUUUGAUCUAUUGAUGACCACCUGUGGCGAAGGCGGUCUACCAGAACACGUCCGACGGUGAGGGAUGAAAGCUGGGGGAGCAAACCGGAUUAGAUACCCGGGUAGUCCCAGCUGUAAACCAUGCAAACUCAAUGAUGCAUUGGCUUGAAGCCAAUGCAGUGUU